AUGCCGGCCUCCAUCGCGGUCUUCCUGUGCCUGCUCUCGGUGGCCAACGCGGCGGCAAUGGAUCCGGCGGAGAGGGAGACGCUGUUCCUCGUCAUGGACGCCGUCUCCUCCGACCGGGACUGGCGCUCCGAGAGCCCCGACCCCUGCGGCGCGCCCUGGCCGGGGCUCGAGUGCAAGCCGGCGCCCGGCACCGCCGCGCCGCUGCACGUCACGCGGCUGGACUUCGGCGUGGAGCCCAACCCGUCGUGCAAGGACGCGGCCACCUUCCCGCCCCAGGUGCUCACGCUGCCCCGCCUCCAGUCCCUCUUCUUCGUCGACUGCUUCAACAACCCGGCCGCCGUCACCGCCCUCGUCCUCCCUUCCGCCAACCUCUCGUCCUCCACCCUGCAGCAGCUCAGCAUCCGGGCCAACCCGUCGCUGUCCGGCGUCAUGCCGCCGCAGCUCGUCAGGCUCAGGUCCCUCCAGGUGCUCACCAUCUCCCAGAACGGCCUCGUCCGUGGUGAGAUCCCGCAGGGCAUCGGCGAGCUCAAGUCGCUGGUGCACCUCGACCUCAGCUACAACUCCCUCUCCGGGCCGGUGCCCAGCCGGAUCAGCGAGCUCAAGGGCUUGGUCGGCCUGGACCUCAGCUACAACGCGCUGUCCGGCCCCAUCCCCAGCCGGAUCGGCGACCUGAACCAGCUGCAGAAGCUGGACCUGAGCUCCAACAACCUCACCGGCGGCAUUCCGGACACCGUCGCCAACCUCACCUCCCUCACCUUCCUGGCGCUAAGCAACAACGGCCUCAAUGGGCACUUCCCCCCUGGCCUCUCCGGUCUCCGGAACCUCCAGUAUCUGAUCAUGGACAACAACCCGAUGGACGUCCCGCUGCCGUCUGAGCUCGGCAGCCUCGCCCGUCUUCAAGAACUCCGGCUAGCCGGCUCCGGCUACUCGGGGCCGAUACCGGCGGCGUUUGGACAGCUGGCGAGCCUGACGACGCUUUCGCUCGAAGACAACAACCUCACGGGUGAGAUUCCCGCGGGGCUGAGCAGACUGCACAGGAUAUACCACCUGAACCUGAGCAACAACGGGCUGGGCGGGGCCGUGCCGUUCGACGGCGCGUUCCUGCGGCGGCUCGGCCGCAACCUCGACCUCAGCGGCAACUCGGGGCUGUGCCUGGACGUCGUGCGGGACGUCGGCGUCGGCGUUGGUGCCUGCCAUGGCGGCGGCGGCGGUGAUGGUUCCUUGGCGCGUGACUCGGUGAGCAGUGCUGCCAGGGGAGUGAUGGCGAGGGGUUCCACGGACAGUUUCCGGUUUCGCCUGCUCGGCCCAGUGUGCGUGGUAGUGAUCUGCAUUUUUCUUUCCUCCGAAUGA
This 1350-nucleotide ribosomal RNA is filed under the name Triticum aestivum (bread wheat). Its description in RNAcentral is "partial small subunit ribosomal RNA". Lineage: Eukaryota; Viridiplantae; Streptophyta; Magnoliopsida; Poales; Poaceae. The record is from RNAcentral.